RNAcentral lists this long non-coding RNA (668 nucleotides) under Ananas comosus (pineapple). RNAcentral's name for it is "long non-coding RNA (ACOM_LNC000398)". The record is from RNAcentral. Lineage: Eukaryota; Viridiplantae; Streptophyta; Magnoliopsida; Poales; Bromeliaceae.
UGCUAAGACAUAGAUGAAUUUAGGCAGAUCGAGAAGUUCGUAAAACAAGCCGAGAUCAAAUCCGGAUAAUCGUAACAUAAAUCUCGAAACAAAAAGAUAUGUAAAAAUCUAUAUGAUUCUUUAUUAGUUCAUCAUUUUCAAUAAUGGUAUCAGUGCCGUGCUUAUUUUUUUAUUUUCACACUGUGAUCCUUUUUUUUAUAUAUAAUUGAAUAUUUCUUUUAAAUUGUUUUUUUUUUAGAGAGAGAUAGGUAGCAUGCUACCCGCUUCAUUUAUUUCAUUUAAAAAUAAACUUAGCUAGAAAUGUGAAUUAGCUAGAAUUCGAACAUGAGAUCUCGGGUACCAACCAUCAAGGCCUUUGCCACUUGCGCUAGGGACAGUCUUAAUCGGACAAUAUGCUGGGCAUUAAUUUGUAAAGCUGUCUAAAAUACCCUAUAUCUCAUAGCCUAUCCAGACCCUAUCUAGACCCACCCGGAUCCGAAGUGGACCUGAUAAAAAAUAGAUAGUAUACGAAUUUUAUAUAAAAAAAAAACUACUUAUUAAAGUUUCAGAUAUGGUUCCGGAUACUUUAUACCAAUACCAUUAAUAUAUGUAUUUUCAUCUUUGUGAAAUCCUAACUACUUUGUUUACUCCUUUCUUUAUUUUUUUUAUUUCUUUUUUUUUUUACACAU